GGUGGCGAUUAUACUGGUGUUGUCCCACCUGAUCCCAUUUCGAACUCAGAAGUGAAAUACACCAAGGCCGAUGGUAGUCGAAAGGCGAGAGUAGGUAGUCGCCACCC
RNAcentral lists this ribosomal RNA (107 nucleotides) under Candidatus Staskawiczbacteria bacterium. The record is from RNAcentral. Lineage: Bacteria; Candidatus Staskawicziibacteriota.